RNAcentral lists this ribosomal RNA (339 nucleotides) under uncultured bacterium. RNAcentral describes it as "bacterial SSU rRNA". It matches the Rfam family "Bacterial small subunit ribosomal RNA", at positions 330 to 667 of the family's 1533-position model. The record is from RNAcentral.
UCCAGACUCCUACGGGAGGCAGCAGUGAGGAAUAUUGGUCAAUGGUCGGGAGACUGAACCAGCCAAGCCGCGUGAGGGAGGAAGGUACAGAGUAUCGUAAACCUCUUUUGUCAGGGGACAAAGGCGGGGACGUGUCCCCGGAUGAGUGUACCUGAAGAAAAAGAAUCGGCUAACUCCGUGCCAGCAGCCGCGGUAAUACGGAGGAUGCGAGCGUUAUCCGGAUUUAUUGGGUUUAAAGGGUGCGUAGGCGGAAUGUUAAGUCAGCGUUCAAAUGUCGUUGCUCAACACCGGCCUGCCGUUGAAACUGGUCUUCUUGAGUGAGCUAGAAGUAUGCGGAAU